GUGAUUUUCAGUCUGUUUGAACUCUGCCAAAGUGGUGCGAUUGCUUUCACUUCAACACUGUGACAUCUGAGUCCAAAUGGAGCACCUACAGUUUGCCAAAAUGAUGAUUAAAGUCACAGUUAUUGCUCUACACUGUAAAGGUUCCUUAGCUGACGCUACAAGGAAGCAGAGUGUGUUGGUGGGCACAGACGUGACUCUCAGCUGCCUGUUUGAUAAACUGUCCAAACAGGUGGAGUGGAGUACUCUGACUGUGGAGUGGAACAUGGCAGAUAAACGUGCAGAGAAGAAGGUUGUGUACACGCUCGUCGAUGGUACAGCGCAUGUGAACAGAGAUGGCUCUGUGGUGGAUAAAUCACGACUUCUGGAGAGCGAUGCAUCUCUGCAGCUUCAUAAUGUGACUGUGAGAGAUGAGGGGCUGUACACCUGCCGAAUCAUCACACCUGUGGUCUACACAGAGACGACUUCACUGGAAGUGCUGGCUCGGCCUUCAGUGACGCUCCCAGAGAAGGCAGCUGUGACAGAGGGGGAGGAGAAGACGAUACAGUGUGACAUCACAGCUUUCUAUCCAGAAAAACUGGCCAUUACAUGGUACAUCCAAAAUGGCUCCCGAACUGUCCACGCUGGUGUGAGCCACCUCUCCCGUGUCUGCACUGAAAUGGCUAUUCAUAAUCCAGAUGGAACCUACAGUAUUCGCAGUGGCAUCACGCUGCACUCCUCCGCAGUAAAGGGUGGAGAUAUACACCUCAUCUGCCAAGUGGAGCACCAGACCUACAGUCGGACAUACAACAGAUCUGUUACACUAACUGUUCAGGCUCCAUCACGACCCCCUUACAGUGCUGUCACACUGAUAGCUGUCACCAGUGUCAUCAGCUUGUUGCUGGUCUCCUCUCUUAUUGGUGGCACUUUGCUUCUCUACAGGUAUUUCUGUAAAGUGGAGCCAUCAUUUCUCCAGAUCACCAGCAUCCCUCAGAUCCCCAAGGUGGAGAGACUGCUGGUUCUCUGCUGUCGAGUGGAGAACUUCUACCCUCCAGAUGUGCACCUGGAGUGGUCCAGGAAUGACGGAGAGGAGAUUGGCGCUGUCACACACUUUGGACCUUUCUCUGACCAUAAUCGCCUCUACAGCAAGUGGAGUAAGGUCCAACUUGUCAUGGAGAAAGAGGACGAGAGAGCUGUCUACACCUGCCGUGUUUACCACUCCAGCUUCUCUGCUCCAGGCUACAAAGAUGUCCUGUACCACAUUAAUACACAAGGAACUCCUCCUAAUGUGAGGUUCAUUGACUGUGAACCGCCGUGUCCUCUGCUGAAUGACGAGUGUACACUGCAACUGUGCAUCAGAGACUUCUGUCCUGAGGACGUGUCAGUGACUUGGACUAAAGAUGGUGAGACAGUUUGCUCUGGCGUCUUCAACACUCCACCGAGCCUGAACAUCAACGGCCUCUACUCCAUGCUUAGUUUUCUCAAACUCCCUCCCAAUGAGGAUGACCAGGCCUCAAAGUUCACAUGCCGAGUGGUGCACAGCGCUCAGAGGGAGCCUGAGGAAAGGCUCUUCAUUCUGCCCAACCUGCACCUGAAAGAUAGCUGUUGACUCACUUCCCCAUUGUCAUCAGUGAUCAGACUGAUACUGGUUGUGUCAUCAGCAACCUGGAGAUGUGGGAGUGUGGUGGACAGGUGAAAGUUACCCCAAACGCAUACUAUGGGGAGCUUCAUGAUUUAGUGUAAAAGAAAAUUUGCAAUAGUUUAUAGACAGCAUUUUAAAAAAAGCUGGGAGAAUAAAAUGUAAAAAUGAUGUUGUCUCCCUCUGACCAAAAACAUCACGACACUUACAAAGACAUAAAAGGCUUUAUGCCUCUUUUCUUUUCACAUUUACACUUCUACUUAAAAAAAUCUGACUACUUUGUGAAAUAGUGUCAUCCAUUUAUUUCUGUAUGAAAGCAAGAAGAAAUAUGUUGAUGAAGGUUCUCGGUCAUUCAGGUCAUGGUAAUUCUAAAUUAUCUCUGCAGUUUGUCUCCACUCUACCUGCAUUGUGGCUGAUGUAAGCGCCAGGUUUUGAAAAGGAGAAGACUAUGUGGAAUAAAAAAGCUGUUAUUUCUGACAAUGCAGCCACUGAGUGACAUAACUGGAGGCAGCAGAUUACAUGAGGCCCCACAAAACUACUUUCUCACAUGUACAGUAGACCCCCUAGACCUGUGAACACACAUCACCUGGUUCUAGCAGCAGCCACCACCAGGCCCCAGCAGUGGAAGCUACCUGGACUCAGCUGCUCAGACACCAUCAAGCAGCAGCAGCCACCACCAUGUCUGCAGCAGCAGAAGAUACCUGGUCCCAUGAUCAGCUGCCAGCAGGCCUCAGCAGCAGGAGCUACCUGGCCUAGCAGCAGCUCAACCACCAGGCCUUAGCAGCAGCCCAUCUAUCUAUCCAUCCAACCAUCCAUCCAUCCACCAGACUAGGCCCAGGCCUCCUUCAGUGACAACAUGCCACCUAAGCAGAAGCCAGAAGUGAAGUCUGAGGAGGAGUGUAUUAGCUCGCACAGGUGAAUGAUCUAAUGCAUCAACAGAGAGGGAUGUUUUUAGCACUCUUGCAACAACAGCAAGGCAGGAAGUCAAGCACAGAAACAACAAUGUUACAUCCGGUUACUUUCAACAUAAAAUACUCCGUGUUGACACCAGCACACAAAUCUCAAAAAAGAGACAAACACAAUCUCUUCUACUAAUCCUUCUGUCGGGAACACUUCCUGACACAUACCUAUAACUGCGGUCGUGAGUGAUUAUGUGAUUAUCACGAAAACUCUUCAACCUCGUGACACCAGCUGUCUACCGUACUGCGCCAUGGCGGACUCAAAAUGCAACCGGUGGCGGACAGCGGACCAAAACCGGAUGGAAGCCGUAACGUAUCUGUAGU
Acanthopagrus latus (yellowfin seabream) is the source of this 2898-nucleotide non-coding RNA. The record is from the annotation of a RefSeq genome assembly. Lineage: Eukaryota; Metazoa; Chordata; Actinopteri; Spariformes; Sparidae.